Molecule: ribosomal RNA, 1956 nt
Filed under: Triticum aestivum (bread wheat)
Lineage: Eukaryota; Viridiplantae; Streptophyta; Magnoliopsida; Poales; Poaceae
Description: partial small subunit ribosomal RNA
Source: RNAcentral
CACUACCAACCAAAGGAAAAGACUCGAACUGGCACCGACGCCAUUUAGCGUUUUUUACCUUUUACACGCAACUCAAAGCCGCGCGAGCUAUGCUUCUUGUACAGCAACUACCCGGAAACGGCUUUCUAACCGUACCAAAGAGUCAAAUACACUCAGGUCUCCACUGGCCCCAUCUGGCGUUGUUUGCCUUUUUUGCCUUUCACAGUUAAUUUAACGCCGCAGGACCUACACUUCUCUAACAACAGGUUCCCGGAAACGGCUUCCUGACCGUUCCAAAGAGCCAGUUCAAACGGCUCAGGGAAUUUCGAACGAUACGUCUAUCCAGCAUGAUGCCGGGAGGUCUAAAGAACACAGUCAUGACACCACGGAGGAAAACCAAACGACUCACGAGUUACAGGUCCAGUAGAACCUGUGUUGUAUUCUACCAAAUAUUAGCGACAACGUUUCCGCGAUUCACAACAUAUGGCAACUCAAGGUCUUCACCCCUGACGGAGUGCACGUAUAUGAACAGACCGCCUCCCCCCAUUACUGCCGCUACCAACUAGACGUCCGAGAACAACACCCCUUGUUCUUGAACUGGUAGGCACACACACAAAGCUCACACACCGUCGUAGCACCCAGGUGACUAUUGUCAGGAUAGUUUGUGUGACUGUACCAGGAAAACCUACGGGUCCCGUUAGUGUACAUACAACUCUAACCACUCUUCGAACACGGAUUCAAGUUAACUUUGUUGGUGUAGGUACAACAAAGAACCGUCCCGUUGGUAUGGAUACGACUCUAACCAAGGACUCGAGGAAAUAUCCAGAGAACGACACUUCGAACACCAAUCGUACGGAAAGUUCGUAAGUUAAGAACACUCCCACCUCGACCUCUUCCGUCCCGCAGUCUCGUCUCGGUCAACGUCGCAGGUGCUAGAGGAACCCGUACCUGUUAGGGUGGUCUAACUGGUGCAACGCCCGAAACCAGUCACCACACACACGGGUCACCAACCUCGUGUGAUUUCACCUCCUUGUCACAACAGCAGUUGAUACCUAAGUCAAUAGAAUACUAUAAUACUCAGAACCCCUAAUAUUCACGGUAAGUUGAUAAGUGAGAGUACUCUUUCUGCCCAACCGCGAAUGACUACGUUGUUGGUUACGUUUGUCCAAACUUGGCAGGCACGGAUGACAACGGGGUUGCUGACACCCGUUCUUUCCAGACCUUCUUCGUCUUGGGAAAUGAUCCUUGUUCCUGCAGAAAACCACUGGAUUCGGAAAACCUUUGUUCAAAACAUUUACCUACCAAAAAAUAGUCAUAUCUACAUGAUAGCUAAGGAGAUGAACUCGAGUCCGAGCGUCCGUGUAUAACGGUUUAGUAAACCAACGAAGUCUAGAUGCCACUGACAAUAGUGUUGUUACAGUGACAGGUAGGUCUGACAGCCCGAUGAACCUCUGUCUGACGGAAAAUCAUUCCACGUGUGGAAGGUUCACAUAUAGGACCUGAACCACGGACCUCCACUUUGCUCAUUUAACUAGUCGACUGGACGUUGUUGGAAGUUUUACGAAAGCGGGGAACACAAAGUCAAAGUCAGUUCCGCUAUAGGUACACAUCUCCCAGUAUUUCGAAGCCACGGGACCAAUAAAACAAACAUAUAUACAUUUACUCGAAACGUUAGACAACUGUAGACGUGCAAGUACGAGACAUCAGAUAGUCGUUUACAUGAGUACUUGGAGUAGGUACAGUUACACGGACGAACCCGGACACUAGUUACACACUACAGCAAUACACGAGAGAACACGUAAUAGGACAAUACUAAGUAUACCAAAGACGAAAAGACUCAGACAGUAUGAGGUAUGCUAGUUGCUGUUGGUUACGUCAUGAGGUAUACAAAGAUUGCUGUAGUAUAUAGAACGCGUCCUUACAUUAAUAGAGGUCCAGGAAACGGCGGUGGACGAGUACCGGCAGUAGCAGGGAAAC